CAAGCGAAGGUCUUGUGUGGAGUCUGUGUGGUGAGCUUGCAAGGAAUGCGGUGAGAUGCAAAGUGCAAGGGCCGGGCUGUGCACAUCGCACAUCUUCUCAGCACCUGGGAUGCAGAGAGUAAACCAAAAUUGAUGAAAACUAGCAGAGGAUACAGGAUGAAAAGGAGCACAAGGAAAGAUGAAAGACAGAAGAACCAAGGAGCACUGCCUAGACCCUAACAAUGUGAGAAGCUGCAAAAGAUAAGAUGAAUGCUUGAAGAUGUCUAAGAAGGUUUCAUCAGCAGCAGGAAGAGAGAAGGCACAGAAAAAAAUCACCAGAAAUUCCUCCAGAAAAUUGCUUCUUAUACUGUCCUCUAGAUUGGCUUAACCCUGAAGUGCAGGUUGACCUGAAUUCAGCUAUGAGAAAUGUCAUUUUGACUUAGUCCAAACAGAAAUCAUCCUGCCUGCUACCCACACCCAGCCGAGCUGCGCAGUCUGGAGGUCUGGGUGGGUGGCAAACCAUGGAGGCCUCUGCAAGGAAGUGGCACUUGUAGAUAAUCCCUUGUGAAUUCUCAUUACACAAAUUGCAAAGUGGUGGUGAUGACAGAUGUGGACAACGGGCUUUCUCAGCGUGUGACAGCCUGUCUGCAUUCAGUGAGCCAAGCUCCAGCCAUCCCUACACAUACUGCUGAUCUCAGCUGAGUGUUGAGGUGCUGUUUUGUGUGGGAGAGAUGUGGAUGUGCUGCAGAAUGAUUUUUGUAGCAGUGAAUUUACUAAUGCACAGAAUAGACUCCUUUUACAACACAAUGCACUCAAUAUUUCUGACGAAGUGCUGCCAGUUUCUUGAUAGUCGAGCCAUCAACUUUUGGACAAAAUAAUUGCUGGCAAUAUUUUGUGAUUACUCAUUGUUUUCCACCUGCCUCUGAAAGAGUGAAUUAAUUAAGUUUCUC
Long non-coding RNA from Gallus gallus (chicken), 929 nucleotides. NCBI's taxonomy places the organism in Eukaryota, Metazoa, Chordata, Aves, Galliformes, Phasianidae. The record is from Ensembl.